AAGUCGUAACAAGGUUUCCGUAGGUGAACCUGCGGAAGGAUCAUUACCAAUUUUCGGGGGGGACUUUGGUCCCUGUCUGAACCCUUGUCUUUUGCGUACCAUUUGUUUCCUCGGCGGGCUCUGCCUGCCGAUAGGAUACUAUAAAAACCCUUUGUAAUUGCAAUCAGCGUCAGAAAACACAUAAUAAUUACAA
This 193-nucleotide unclassified non-coding RNA is filed under the name plant metagenome. RNAcentral's name for it is "partial contains small subunit ribosomal RNA and internal transcribed spacer 1". The stretch from base 1 to 46 matches the Rfam family "Eukaryotic small subunit ribosomal RNA", at positions 1786 to 1831 of the family's 1831-position model. The record is from RNAcentral.